CACCUGGGGAGUACGGCCGCAAGGUUAAAACUCAAAUGAAUUGACGGGGGCCCGCACAAGCGGUGGAGCAUGUGGUUUAAUUCGACGCAACGCGAAGAACCUUACCUGGCCUUGACAUCCAGAGAGCUUUCCAGAGAUGGAUUGGUGCCUUCGGGAACUCUGAGACAGGUGCUGCAUGGCCGUCGUCAGCUCGUGUCGUGAGAUGUUGGGUUAAGUCCCGUAACGAGCGCAACCCCUAUCCCUGGUUGCUAGCAGGUAAUGCUGAGAACUCCAGGGAGACUGCCGGUGACAAACCGGAGGAAGGUGGGGAUGACGUCAGGUCAUCAUGGCCCUUACGGCCAGGGCUACACACGUGCUACAAUGGCGCGUACAGAGGGCUGCCAACUCGCGAGAGUGAGCCAAUCCCUUAAAACGCGUCGUAGUCCGGAUCGGAGUCUGCAACUCGACUCCGUGAAGUCGGAAUCGCUAGUAAUCGCGAAUCAGAAUGUCGCGGUGAAUACGUUCCCGGGCCUUGUACACACCGCCCGUCACACUAUGGGAGUGGAUUGCACCAGAAGUAGUUAGUCUAACCUUCGGGAGGACGAUUACCACGGUGUGGUUCAUGACUGGGGUGAAGUCGUAACAAGGUAACCGUA
RNAcentral lists this ribosomal RNA (635 nucleotides) under uncultured Marinobacter sp. RNAcentral describes it as "bacterial SSU rRNA". It matches the Rfam family "Bacterial small subunit ribosomal RNA", at positions 870 to 1504 of the family's 1533-position model. Lineage: Bacteria; Pseudomonadati; Pseudomonadota; Gammaproteobacteria; Pseudomonadales; Marinobacteraceae. The record is from RNAcentral.